AAAUAAAAAAAGAUGGGAUUAUUAUAAUGAAAGUGUAUGCUGACAUUAUAAUAAUCUUGUCUAUGUUCUAAAUACAAAAUACCUUCACGAGGUUUAGAAUGAGUGAUAUAAGGAAAGUUAUAUUAUCUAAAUUUAUGUAUGUGGUAAAUGAUGUUGUGAUGUUAAAAAAGCGUGUGUGGUUAGGUGUAGAGAAUUAAUAUUAGAAUGAUAUCUAUGUAAGUUCGAGUUAGUUUUUAUAUUUAUAGUAUAAAGGAUCUUAUACUUGUAACAACACACUUAUUUUAACA
Molecule: unclassified non-coding RNA, 287 nt
Filed under: Nosema bombycis
Lineage: Eukaryota; Fungi; Microsporidia; Nosematidae
Description: intergenic spacer
Source: RNAcentral